AUGAUGAACCGAACAACUAAGUUUGUAUUGGAAGUGUAGAAGUAAAAGUUAUUUGAGAGAAUUUAAAGAACUUGAAUGCACGUAUAUUUUGAAAUGGAGGUUGUAUACACCUACACAGAGACAUCAAUCGUGUAUGAAUUCUUUGCUCCUUAGGCAUUCUGAGGUACACGACAUCGCAUUAGCAAUUUAGCAUUCGUUCUUCGACGCUGCUGGACAGAGUUAUACUAUCAUAUCAUAAUCAUAUUCAGGUUAACAUAAUUACUGACAUUUGCUAAACAUAUAUUUCACGAAAAAAAAAACAAAGGACAGGAUGCUAGCAGUAAGCUAGGUUGUACCGUUAUACGUGCAAAAAAAUCUUUUUAUUAGGUUGACAUGUAAAGCAUUAUAUCGUCUUGUGCAAUGUCUACACGACCACACCCAACAUUAUCUUUAAUUUACACUGCGG
RNAcentral lists this long non-coding RNA (445 nucleotides) under Brachypodium distachyon (stiff brome). Its description in RNAcentral is "long non-coding RNA (BDIS_LNC001292)". Lineage: Eukaryota; Viridiplantae; Streptophyta; Magnoliopsida; Poales; Poaceae. The record is from RNAcentral.